Candoia aspera is the source of this 299-nucleotide long non-coding RNA. RefSeq lists it as uncharacterized. The record is from RefSeq and is a predicted model, not a curated record. NCBI's taxonomy places the organism in Eukaryota, Metazoa, Chordata, Lepidosauria, Squamata, Candoiidae. The transcript has 2 exons.
CUCAGCUGUCCCUUUUUCAGUACUUCUUUCUGCAGCCUUUGAUCAGAAAUAAAACUUCUAGAUCCUUGCCUGCCUUCUCAUCUACAUCCCCAGGAUAUAACUAGCCCAUGAGCCAGUGUGGCACAGUAGUAGAGGUGUUGGACUAGGAAGACCCUGACAGGCCCUCUGGAUGAAUCCUUUGGGCUUCUCCCCAAAGCCUGCUGUCUCUCUUUAUUUCUUAGAUCAAAGGCACCAGCCAAGAUGGGUCUCAAAAUAUGGAGCUGUUCUUGACCGACAAAUAACAGAAAGAUGCUACCUUG